Molecule: long non-coding RNA, 386 nt
Organism: Brassica oleracea var. oleracea
Lineage: Eukaryota; Viridiplantae; Streptophyta; Magnoliopsida; Brassicales; Brassicaceae
Exons: 2
Source: RefSeq, a predicted model, not a curated record
AGCCCAACUGAUUCAAAGCAUUAUUCAACACGUUUGGUGAAAAACUCAGAGCCAACUUCGGAGAAACUAAGAAACUCGUCCUCCAGACGGCUGGACACAAGGAUCUUCUUGAAGAUGAUCCUUACCUGAAACAGAGACUGAGACUUCGUAACUCUUACAUCACAACUCUCAAUGUCUGUCAAGCUUACACUUUGAAGAGGAUCCGUGACCCGAGUUACAAUGUGACGCUACGUUACGUCCUCACAUCUCUAAGGAGAUUGCGGAAUCGAGCAAAGAACUCAUCGAGCUUAACCCGACUAGCGAGUACGCGCCUGGACUCGAAGAUACACUCAUCUUGACCAUGAAGGGUGUCGCUGCUGGUCUACAGAACACCGGUAGAGUAAAAA